RNAcentral lists this ribosomal RNA (253 nucleotides) under uncultured bacterium. RNAcentral describes it as "partial 16S ribosomal RNA". It matches the Rfam family "Bacterial small subunit ribosomal RNA", at positions 524 to 776 of the family's 1533-position model. The record is from RNAcentral.
UACAGGGGGUGCAAACGUUGCUCGGAAUUAUUGGGCGUAAAGCGCACGUAGGCGGUUUGUUAUGUCGGAUGUAAAAGCCCUUGGCUCAACUGAGGAAGUGCAUCCGAAACUGGCAAGCUAGAGUAUGUAAGAGGGUCGCGGAAUUCCCGGUGUAGAGGUGAAAUUCGUAGAUAUCGGGAGGAACACCGGUGGCGAAGGCGGCGACCUGGGACAAUACUGACGCUGAGGUGCGAAAGCGUGGGGAGCAAACAGG